RNAcentral lists this non-coding RNA (23 nucleotides) under Arabidopsis thaliana (thale cress). Lineage: Eukaryota; Viridiplantae; Streptophyta; Magnoliopsida; Brassicales; Brassicaceae. The record is from RNAcentral.
GUGGGGAACAAUGUGUGCUUACA